GAUGAACGCUGGCGGCGUGCCUAAUACAUGCAAGUCGAGCGAACGGACGAGAAGCUUGCUUUUCUGAUGUUAGCGGCGGACGGGUGAGUAACACGUGGAUAACCUACCUAUAAGACUGGGAUAACUUCGGGAAACCGGAGCUAAUACCGGAUAAUAUUUUGAACCGCAUGGUUCAAAAGUGAAAGACGGUCUUGCUGUCACUUAUAGGUGGAUCCGCGCUGCAUUAGCUAGUUGGUAAGGUAACGGCUUACCAAGGCAACGAUGCAUAGCCGACCUGAGAGGGUGAUCGGCCACACUGGAGCUGAGACACGGUCCAGACUCCUACGGGAGGCAGCAGUAGGGAAUCUUCCGCAAUGGGCGAAAGCCUGACGGAGCAACGCCGCGUGAGUGAUGAAGGUCUUCGGAUCGUAAAACUCUGUUAUUAGGGAAGAACAUAUGUGUAAGUAACUGUGCACAUCUUGACGGUACCUAAUCAGAAAGCCACGGCUAACUACGUG
Molecule: ribosomal RNA, 497 nt
Filed under: uncultured bacterium
Lineage: Bacteria
Description: partial 16S ribosomal RNA
Rfam family: Bacterial small subunit ribosomal RNA
Source: RNAcentral